Molecule: non-coding RNA, 549 nt
Organism: Camelina sativa (false flax)
Lineage: Eukaryota; Viridiplantae; Streptophyta; Magnoliopsida; Brassicales; Brassicaceae
Source: RefSeq, a predicted model, not a curated record
CACAACUGCUUAAGAAAAUCAUUCCUAAUUAAAUUCCCACUAACAGCUCCACGUUCAUAGUGGUUUACAACAAAUUCCAUCUUCUAUAUAAAUUAGAAACUACAAUUCUCACGGAGUUUCAGGUUUUGAAGAUGGCUCUGGAUUAUACUCCUCUCUCAAAUCUAAAUUCUUUGAAAAAAGAAUGGAAGAUCAGAGCUCUAAUAUCAAUGGCAUGGAAUUUUUAUCUAAAAGAUAAACCUGGAGCUAUUCUCGGUAUUGAAGCAAUUCUUGUGGGGAUCCUUCUUGUGGAGGCAAAGAUUAUAUUGACGGAAUUCGAGUCACAUACUUACGGAAAAGAACCAACCGUUUGGGAAAACGAAGCUUAAACGAUUCCAGUUCCGGCGCCGUCGUUGAUGUCACUACUAAAGAUCUAGAAGACAGGAUUACGUUCCUUGAUGGUGGUCCGUGGAAGCAAGGUCGGAGAAUUACGAUCUUAAGAUAUUCGUUGUGCCUCACUCUCAUAACGAUCCUGGUUGGAAAUUGACCGUGGAGGAGUAUUAUCAGAGACAA